UAACUGGAGGACCGAACCGACUAAUGUUGAAAAAUUAGCGGAUGACUUGUGGCUGGGGGUGAAAGGCCAAUCAAACCGGGAGAUAGCUGGUUCUCCCCGAAAGCUAUUUAGGUAGCGCCUCGUGAAUUCAUCUCCGGGGGUAGAGCACUGUUUCGGCAAGGGGGUCAUCCCGACUUACCAACCCGAUGCAAACUGCGAAUACCGGAGAAUGUUAUCACGGGAGACACACGGCGGGUGCUAACGUCCGUCGUGAAGAGGGAAACAACCCAGACCGCCAGCUAAGGUCCCAAAGUCAUGGUUAAGUGGGAAACGAUGUGGGAAGGCCCAGACAGCCAGGAUGUUGGCUUAGAAGCAGCCAUCAUUUAAAGAAAGCGUAAUAGCUCACUGGUCGAGUCGGCCUGCGCGGAAGAUGUAACGGGGCUAAACCAUGCACCGAAGCUGCGGCAGCGACACUAUGUGUUGUUGGGUAGGGGAGCGUUCUGUAAGCCUGUGAAGGUGGCCUGUGAGGGUUGCUGGAGGUAUCAGAAGUGCGAAUGCUGACAUAAGUAACGAUAAAGCGGGUGAAAAGCCCGCUCGCCGGAAGACCAAGGGUUCCUGUCCAACGUUAAUCGGGGCAGGGUGAGUCGACCCCUAAGGCGAGGCCGAAAGGCGUAGUCGAUGGGAAACAGGUUAAUAUUCCUGUACUUGGUGUUACUGCGAAGGGGGGACGGAGAAGGCUAUGUUGGCCGGGCGACGGUUGUCCCGGUUUAAGCGUGUAGGCUGGUUUUCCAGGCAAAUCCGGAAAACCAAGGCUGAGGCGUGAUGACGAGGCACUACGGUGCUGAAGC
RNAcentral lists this ribosomal RNA (827 nucleotides) under Escherichia coli. RNAcentral describes it as "partial 23S ribosomal RNA". It matches the Rfam family "Bacterial large subunit ribosomal RNA", at positions 763 to 1591 of the family's 2925-position model. The record is from RNAcentral. Lineage: Bacteria; Pseudomonadati; Pseudomonadota; Gammaproteobacteria; Enterobacterales; Enterobacteriaceae.